This 8923-nucleotide long non-coding RNA is filed under the name Gossypium raimondii (Peruvian cotton). Its description in RNAcentral is "long non-coding RNA (GRAI_LNC000824)". The record is from RNAcentral. Lineage: Eukaryota; Viridiplantae; Streptophyta; Magnoliopsida; Malvales; Malvaceae.
UCCAUCACCAUCCUCCUUACCACUGGCUUUUGGGACACCCCAACCAUCAUCUCUUACAUCAAUUCCGUCUCCCAAGCCUUCCCAUCUAUCUCCUUCUUUCGCUUCCCUUCCAUCUCCAUUGACCUAUCUCAAAACUGCAGCGGUGCCGCCAUUGCCUUCCACUUCAUCCGCCUUCAUGCACCCAACGCCCUCCAUUCUCUUCAACAAAUCUCCAAAUCUCAAAAAAUCUCCGCUUUUAUCAUUGAUCUUUUCUGCACUUCGGCUUUAUCUAUGGGAAAAGAUCUUAACAUCCCUACUUUUUACUUCUUUACCUCUGGUGCUUCUACCCUUGCUGCUUUCCUUCAAAUCCCAAAGCUUGAUAAACAAACCUUUGGAAGAAGCUUCAAAGAUCUGCCCAACACGGUCUUCCAUUUUGAGGGUGUGCCAUCGUUGAGAGCUGUACACAUGCCUGACCCUUUACUUGAUAGAGAUGAUCCAGCUUAUCAUGAUUUUAUGUACUUCAUGUCAAGUCUUCAACAAUCAGACGGAAUCAUAGUCAACACUUUUGAAGAUCUUGAACCCAUUUCCAUUAAGGCUAUUGCUAAUGGUUUAUGCCUUCCUGAUGCUCCAAGGACUCCACCAACGUUCUACAUUGGACCUUUGAUUGCACCAAGUAAACAUGAAGCUGAAAAUGACUAUUGUUUAUCAUGGCUAGAGAAGCAACCGAGUCAAAGCGUUGUGUUCUUGUGUUUUGGAAGCCAUGGGUCGACGUUCUAUCCACCCCAAGUUAAGGAAAUAGCCAAAGGGUUGGAAAAUAGUGGGCAAAGGUUCUUAUGGGUUGUAAAAGAUCCACCCAAUCAUGAAAAGACUAAGCAAGCUGAAGAUAACCCUGAUGUGGAUUUAGACAGUCUUUUACCGGAAGGAUUUAUGGAGAGAACCAGAGAUAGGGGCUUGGUUGUGAAGUCAUUUGCGCCACAAGUAGCAGUGUUGAACAAGGACUCAAUUGGUGGCUUUGUGACACACUGUGGGUGGAACUCGGUAUUGGAAGCGGUGGUGGCUGGGGUGCCUAUGAUUGCAUGGCCUUUAUAUGCAGAGCAACACUUGAACCGGAACAUUUUGGUUGAGGAUAUGAAGAUGGCUAUUCCGGUGGAGCAAAUGGAGGGGGAUGGGUUUGUGAGUGGAACUGAGUUGGAGAAACGAGUGAGAGAGUUGAUGGAAUCAGAGAAGGGUGAGGAACUUAGAGAAAAGAGCAGGAAGCUGAAAGAGAAGGCCUUGGCUGCCAUGGGUCCAUCAGGGUCUUCUACUAAAGCACUUACCAAGCUGGUUGAGUUAUGGAAGUAAGGUUGAGGCCGUUGUUUCUUCUAUUGGUCCCUUCCCGUUCUUCUCUGCUUUUUAAACGAACUUUUACAACAGAAAGUCCUUUUCUCUUAAAAGCAAGGAAGAACGGCCAUCGUUUCAGAAUUUUUUCCACCAUCAAAGAAGUGCUUUUUGGCUGAUGGAGAAGUUAAAAAUUUCAACUUUUCUUCAGCCAAAAGUCCGUUUGGCUGAUAAUUUCCCAUUUUAACCUGUCUUCUCCCUCAAAAAAGUUUCUCUUCUCUGGUUCUUUGGAGCUUCCUAGAAGGUACGCUUCCUAGAAGUAAUUCGUAAUCUUUUUCUCUGUUUCUGAAAUUUCACUUCCCCAAUUCACAACCCUAACAUGUUUCUCUAAUCAGACUUCAAUCCAGGUUUUUUUUCCUUUUUUUCCUUGUGCGGAAUGUAAUUUUAUUUUCUCUCCUGUUUGGUUGUGGAGGAAAAAAAAGGGGCAUGUGACGGAGUUUUUAGAAAUCUUUUGUUCUCUGGUUUUCUUUCCUUAUUUAAAAAAAAAUAGUUGUUGAUUUUGAUUGGUUGCUAUUGUUUAUUCCCCUCCGAAGAUUUUCUUCUCUUUGACAAUGUUCUCUUCAUCCUGUUCCAUUUCCAACUUAUAACUUCACAUAUUUAUAUUGCAUUUCUUUGGUAUUGACGAUGAGGGUGUUCUUAAUUUCUCGGGGUAUUGAAGAAGACAUUUAGAAUGAAAAAUGAGUUAUUUAGAAUUGGGAUUGAGAAUGUUCAUUAGAUUUGAGGAAAAUGGUGGAAGGGAAGAAAGAGGUUAAAGGAGAUGGUUCUAUGCCGUUAAGUUUCUUCUAGGUACUAAGUAGGAGAAAAGAAGGAAAAAAAACUCAUUUUUGUGUUCAUCCUGUUCUAAGUCCAACUUAUAGCUUUACAUAUUUUAUUGCUUUGCUUUGGUAUUGACAAUUAGGAAGUUCUUAAUUUUUGAAGCAAACAUUUAGAAUGAAAAUGAGUUAUUUAGAACUGAAAUUGAGAAGUUUUGUAGAUUUUUGACAAUUGGUGGAAGGGAAGAACAGAUUUAAAUGAGAUAUGUUAUUCUGUACUGUUGUUACUAUCUUUUAUAUCCCCGGUUAAUGUAGUAUUUGGUGAGAAAGAAAAUGGAAAAACUUCAAGUUUCCGCUGUUAAGUUCCUUCUUAGUUCUAAGUAGGAGAAAAGAAGGGACUUUCUAUGUUUUCAUGUCAACUUUUCACAGUUGUAUUGUUUGCUGUGGUUUUGACCUUAGCAAGUUUUUAUAUUUGAUUGGUGCAAAUGCAUGGAUGAUUGAGGAAGUUAUAGCAAACAAUGUUUGACUCGAUAUGGGUUUUACUGGUGAAUAUACCAGAGGUGUUUGGGACUUUCUAUGUUUUCAUGUCUGCUUUUGAGUCAGUUUUAUAAAUCAAGCACCAUCACUUUGUUGGACCAUUACUUUUCUUGCUCAAAUGUUCCUAAGUAUAAGAAAACUGUGAGAAGUCUUUCAUUUUCAGUGAUAUUUUUCUUCAUCCUGUUCCAAUCCUAGUUACAACUUUAUAUAUCUUAUUGCUUUGCUCCAGUAUAGACCUUAGGAAGUUAAAACUUAUAGCUUUACAUCUUUUAGUGUUCCUUUUUUCUGUUAUGCCUCUUUUGCUUUACUGCUUUGCUUUAGCAAUUGCUAGAUCCCCACCAAUCAGUUAGUGCAUAUAAGAGUAUGCAGGUUUGUUUACCAAGUCUCUCUCUACAUGGUGGGUCAACUAAUUAAUUUACAUGCAACAAGUCUGUGCGAAGAGACAAUAUGUGUUAUGGUUAUUAGCGGGAAGAUAUAUAUCGCGCCACUAAAUUAUCAAAGCUCAAACGUAAAUUGUGGAAUCUCAAUCUUUCGUGUUUUGUUUCCAGGAACAUAUGAAUGUGCAAGUUUUGUUCAAACUUAAUGUAAAUCAAACAAAUAAAAUGGGGAGGCAACUUUAUUGAUGAACUCACUAAGUUUCUCACGAACUUACUAUAUUUUCUCUCUUUUAUUUUCAAGUAAUCUUAAUUGUUCAACGUUGGAACUAAGCUAGAGUCUUCAAGCCUUAUGUGAGCAUAUCACCUUUUGCUUGUAACAUGUAUAUAUACAGGGGGCGAAUGAAAUUUUAAUUUUUUAUAGUCUAUAUUUUUAUAAUUUUUAAAGGAUAAAAUUGAUUUUUAUAAUUUCAGGGGCCACAGUACAAUUUUACCUUUACUAAUUUAAAAUUUUAAAAAAAAAUUCAAGAGCCUAAAUAGAAAAUUUUCAUUUUAAGGGGCCAGCCCCCUAUCCGCCUCUAUAUACCUGGGCAACCUGUAGAGUUAAACUCUUGUUUUAUAUAUCGAGAAUAACUUUUUUAAACAUAGUUCUAAUUGUAAUUAUACGUAUGACAUUAGAGUGACAAAAUCGAAGUUUUGUAUUACUAGAAGUUUGAUAUAUAUAUAAUUUAAAUAUUGAAAAUUUACAGCAAACAUUCUCUAUAAAUUUAUCGAACAAAGAAAAAUAAAUAAAUAUAGAUUAUUUUCCAUGGUUUCGAGUCGUGAUCUCGGCGUGUUGGUCGUCCUGCCUAUUGUUUGGGUGUUACGUAUUUACAUAUAAAAAUAAUAAUGAUAUUUGAAACAAUUAUUUUAUUUUAUAAUAUUAUAAAUUACCAUACCCACAAUAUAGGUGGAGAAAAUAAAUGUUUAAUAUAUAAAAAAAUCAAACAAAUUAGUUAAAAAUAAAAUAUAUUUUACAUAAUCAUACAUAUAAAAACACAUUUUUAUCAUAUAAUUACAUAUUUAUUAUUUUAUUUAUAAAAAUAAAAGAGUUAUUAAUUAUAAAGAUGAGUUAAAAAAACUUGAAAACAAUAUUUAUUAAUUAAAAAUUUAAAAAAUAAAACAAUAUAAAAUAAAAAAAUACAAAUGUGAGUAGAAGGGCAAUUAAGCUUGAGACUCAAAGACAAAAUCACUAACAUUUAACUAACUAAAUGAGUUAAAAUGUUAGAAGAAAACGCGCUUUGUAGGAAGCGGUCUUCAAAAUCGACUUAUUUCCCUCAAUUUGAAAAAUUUCGGCCUAAUUCUUUAAAUUUUUUUUAUUUCGACAUUUUUACCUAAUUUUCCCAACACUUUUAUCACGGUAAUAAUCUAGUCCACCAAAUAUUACUGUUGGUCCUCAACAAUAAAAAAGGGUUAAAAAUCUUACCCUUGCCCUCACUGCUAUAUAUUUAAGACCACACAAAUCUUUAAAACCCUUCAUCUUAUCAUUCUCAACCAAUCUUUUAAAUUAAUUCCCUCAAUUUCAUUAUUUAACAAAUUUAUUCUUCUUUUUCAUGUUUUAUAAACAUAUUUUUUUAUCUAAUUGAUUGAAAAAGUAUUAAGUUAAUAAAGUUAAUGAGAUUUAAACUAAUAAAAUUACAAAAUUUAUCACAAAUUGAAUUAAAAUUUUUAAAACCAAGAAGGAACUAAAGUAAAAAAAAAAAAAAAAAAAAAACGUUCAUGUUUGGCUUGAUGGUCAAGGGAUGUUCAUUCAUAGAACCCACUUAGAUUUGAGUUUUUGCGAAAACAAGUGGUAGAUUUUAUUUAGACAGCUCUUUUUAGAUGAUGUGUGUGUAGUGUGGGUAUAUCCUACCUUGUGUGUGAGUAUUAACUCUUCAAUUUUACAUUAUUAAAAAAUACCAUAAGGGUCAAACAUAAAUUCUCAUAUAUUUUUUCUAUUUAUUAUAAGAGGUUAAAUGAAAUUUUAAAAAAUUGGAAGGAGUUGAGGCACCUAUCAGCUUAGGUUGAGCGUUCAAUUGAAUCAAGUUGACGGAUGAAAAAAGUUCGAAUUAAUCGAGCUGGCAAGUCUUAUUUUCUCAUCCUAAACAUGUUUGAGAUUUUUUCGAAUCGAGUCGAGUGGAGUGUAAUUCGAGUCUAGUCAAAUCAAGUAAAAUUGUUCAAGUUAAAUUAAAAAAUUAAACCUGUCAAAUGAAAAUCUUUGUACAAUAUAACUAAUUCCAUGUUAGAGCAUAUAAAUUUAAAUCAUAUAUAUUUGAAAACUUUUCUAAAGCAAAAUAAAAAAGAAGAAGAUACUUUUAAUAUGAUAAACUUGAAUAAUUAAUUAACUUGUUUAGGUCCCAAAAUUAUUAUUUUAGAAUUUUUUUUAAAUUUUCUUUAUAUAUUCUUUAGAAUUUUUUUUAGAAUUUUUUAAAAAUAUAAAUUUAGGAAUUUUCAGAAAGAUUUUUAAUUGUAAAAAUUAUUUUGAAUUUUUGAAAAUCAAUUUGAUUUUUUUUUUGUAAUUUUAGUUGAGAGACCAAUUUGCUUAUUUUCAAAAUUGAGAGGGACCAAAGGGGUAUUUACACUAAUUUGUCAUUUGAAUUGUAAAAUUAAACUCAACUCGAAAAAAUCGAAUAACUCAAUUCGAUUAACUCGAAAUUUACUUUUUUUUGAGUUUUUAAAAUUGAGUCGAGUUUUGCUCAUUCCUACUGCCAGCCCUCCCUCUCUUCGUCCUAACCCAAAAACCCAAGUUUGGGUAUCUAUAUUAUAAUUAAGAUUUUGUCUGAGUUGAUGUCACCCAUCAACUGAAUCUCUACUCAAUCCUAAAGUUAUUAAAAGCCCCUUAAGAAAAUAAUAGAUAUUAUUUUGAGAGCAAUUUUACCUUUUCAUAUAAAAUCUAGAAAAUUUCAUAUAUAUAUGAUGGAAUUCGAAUCCAAAGCAUUAUAACUUUUAGCUUGAAGGGUCGAAAAGGCUCUUAGUAAAAAAUAAUAAAAACUCAAUUAAACCCUUAAAAAAAACUUCACCUUAUUAAGCCCUCAAUGACUGGAAAAAAUCUAGAAAGUUGAUGUAACAACUAAAUUGAGAUAAAUCUCAAAAUUAUAUAUGAACUUUGAUUUAAUGUGCAAUUGUAUACAUAAAUUUUAAUUUGGUACAAUUAUACACAUGAAACUCUAAUUGUGGUUUAAAUGUAUACUUGAAAAUUUAAUUUUGACUUAAUCAUGCACAUUUAAAGAAAUAAAUACAUCAAUUUAUUUUUAUAUUGGAUAAAUAUAAUUAUUUAUGAAUGCAAUAUAUAAAUAUAAAUAUAAAAAUGAUGUUAUAUCAAUAAUUGUGUUAAUAAUUUACAAGAAUUGGAUCAAAUCAAAAUUUCUUGUAUAAAAUUGCACAAAAUCAAAAUUCAUGUAUACAAUUGCACAUUAAACAAUAGUUCAUGUAUAGUUUUGGUAUUUAUCCCAACUAAACUAUAUGAUUAGAGAUAUGAAAUUUUGGAAAGUUAAGCAUAAAAUAGUAAGUCUGAAACUAUAGGGAUUAAACUAUAAAAAAUUCAAAAAAUGAGUUUUAGGACUUAUUUAUAUGAUUUGAGAAUUUAAGAUUCUGAAAACAGAAUGUGAAAUUUUAACGGUUCGAAAAUCAGGGACUAAUUUAUAAAAAUUUAAAUUGUAGGGACUAAACUCAACAUUCAAAUAAAAUUAGAAGUUGAGGGAAAUCGCAUCAUAUGAAAUCACUAGCCUCUAAGAAAUUCAACAACUGAUUUCUAUGUUUUCAUUAAAAUUGAAUUUUAUUAAUUUAUUUGUUGAAUUAUUAUUUGUCACUAAACCCGAAUCCGAUUUAGGGUAAAAAAACAUGUCUAAAAUUUUAUUGAGACUCAAUCCGAACUUGACUCAAUCCAUGAUCGUUUUUAUUUGUCAUCGUCUCAAACCAAUAAUUUAAAAUAAAUAUAAAUUAAAUUAUUGUUAAUUAAGUAUUUGCCAUACAUUAUCUUCAACUUUAUUUUUAAAAUAAUCAAAAAUAAAUUUUAAAUAUUCAUAAAUUAUUUUAUUUAAGGGUGAUGAAUUUUUUAGUCAAAUUAUGCUAUUAGACCUUCUAGUUUGUGUAAUGGUGGAUUUAGUGCCUCUAUUUUAAUUUGAUCAAUUUUAAUUUUUGUACUUUUAGAAUUUUCAAAUUUUAAUCCCGACCCAAUGAUAAUAGUUAAAUUUGUUUGGUUAAAUUAUGUUUUUAGUCAUGUAUUAUGCGUAAAGUUAUAGAUUUAGUCCACGUUCAUUAAUUGGAUCAUUCUUAGUGAUUAUAUUUUUUGAAUUUCAAAAUUUUAGUCAAUGACAAUCGAUAAAUCUAUGAACUUUUUUUUGGUAAGUAAUAUGUGAAAAUAACAAAUAACAUAGUAUUAUACAUGUGAUAAUAUGUUUCCCAUAUCGAAUUUUAAAAAUAACAAAACUUAACUUAAUGGAUUUAAUAAUUAUCAAUUGGUUAGAAUUAAAAUUUUCAAAUUCUAAAAAUAAAAAAAAAAGUAAAAAAGAAUAAAACUAAACAGGUCUACAGCUUACACAAAAUAUAGGGUCUAAUAGCAUAAAUUAACACAAAAUUUUAUGAAUGUUACUCAUGAAUUUGUUUGAAUUAAGAAAAGCCCUUCAAGGUUGUACUAGAGGUGCUCAUGGGCCGGGCAGCCUGGCCCGGCUCGACGGUCCGCCCGAAAUAUGAGAGGGUUUGGGUAAAAAUAUAGGCCCGAAAUAUGAGCUUGGGUAAAAAAAUAAGGCCCGUUUAGAAAACGGGCCGGGCCUCGGGCACCACUUUUUUAGCCCGGGCCUGGCCCGAUAUAAUAAAUAUAUUUAUUUUUUUAAUUUUUUUAAAUUUUAAAAUAUUUUUAAAAUACUUUUUUUAAUUUUUUUAAAUUUUAAAAUACUUUUUUUAAAUUUUUUAAUUUUAAAAUAUUUUUAAAAUACUUUUUUUAAUUUUUAAAAUACUUUUUUAAUAUUUAUUAAAAAAUGGGCUGGGCCGAGUCUGGGUAAAAAUUUUAGGCCCAUAUUUUGGGCCAGGCAUGGGCCUAAGACUCGUGCCAAAUUUUUUAUGGGUCCGGCCCGAACCUGGCCCGGCCCGGCCCAUGAGCACCUCUAGCCGUUGUACUAGAUAUUUCUUAAAUUUAAUUAAGUUGUCCUUUUCCUAUCAAAAAAGAUAAACAUGUCGUAGUGAUAAGAUGAAAGACCAACAAAAGUCAACAAAUACACAAGAAAUUUAUUGUUUCAUCAUUGUUCCAAAACAUAUCUCUUCAAAAAAAGAAAGAAAAUAAACAAUGCAAGAGACGAUCGUCCUUUACCCAUCGCCCGGAUUGGGCCAUAUGGUGUCAAUGGUGGAGCUUGGCAAACUCAUCCUUCACCACUACAACAACCGAUACUGCAUCACCAUCCUCCUUACCACUGGCCUUUGGGACACUCCAACCAUCAUCUCUUACAUCAAUUCCGUCUCCCAAGCCUUCCCAUCUAUCUCCUUCUUUCGCUUCCCUUCCAUCUCCAUUGACCUAUCUCAAAACUGCAGCGGUGCCGCCAUUUUCUUCCACUUCAUCCGCCUUCAUGCACCCAACGUCCUCCAUUCUCUUCAACAAAUCUCCAAAUCUCACAAAAUCUCUGCUUUUAUCAUUGAUCUUUUCUGCACUUCGGCUUUAUCUUUGGGAAAAGAUCUUAACAUCCCUACUUUUUACUUCUUCACCUCUGGUGCUUCUACCCUUGCUGCUUUCCUUCAAAUCCCAAAGCUUGAUAAACAAACCUUUGGAAGAAGCUUCAAAGAUCUGCCCAACACGGUCUUCCAUUUUGAGGGUGUGCCAUCGUUGAGAGCUGUACACAUGCCUGAACCUUUACUUGAUAGAGAUGAUCCAGCUUAUCAUGAUUUUAUGUACUUCAU